UCCCGUUUAACACGGGCAGUCCCUCUAGAGUGCUCAACUUAAUGGUAGCAACUAGAGGCAAGGGCUGCGCUCGUUGCGGGACUUAACCCAACAUCUCACGACACGAGCUGACGGCAGCCAUGCAGCACCUGUGUUCCGGCCAGCCGAACUGAAGGACCGCGUCUCCACGACCCACACCGGACAUGUCAAGCCUUGGUAAGGUUCUUCGCGUUGCAUCGAAUUAAACCACACGCUCCGCCGCUUGUGCGGGCCCCCGUCAAUUCCUUUGAGUUUUAGCCUUGCGGCCGUACUCCCCAGGCGGGAUGCUUAAAGCGUUAGCUGCGGCACGGAGGGGGUCGACACCCCCCACACCUAGCAUCCACCGUUUAGGGCGUGGACUAC
RNAcentral lists this unclassified non-coding RNA (381 nucleotides) under uncultured bacterium. Its description in RNAcentral is "contains 16S-23S intergenic spacer region". The record is from RNAcentral.